CCUACGGGAGGCAGCAGUGAGGAAUAUUGGUCAAUGGACGAGAGUCUGAACCAGCCAAGUCGCGUGAAGGAUGACUGCUCUAUGGGUUGUAAACUUCUUUUAUAUGGGAAUAAAAUGUUCCACGUGUGGGAUUUUGUAUGUACCAUAUGUAUAAGGAUCGGCUAACUCCGUGCCAGCAGCCGCGGUAAUACGGAGGAUCCGAGCGUUAUCCGGAUUUAUUGGGUUUAAAGGGAGCGUAGGUGGAUUGUUAAGUCAGUUGUGAAAGUUUGCGGCUCAACCGUAAAAUUGCAGUUGAAACUGGCAGUCUUGAGUACAGAAGAGGUGAGCGGAAUUCGUUGUGUAGCGGUGAAAUGCUUAGAUAUCACGAAGAACUCCGGUUGCGAAGGCAGUUCACUGGACUGCAACUGACACUGAGGCUCGAAAGUGUGGGUAUCAAACAGGAUUAGAUACCCCUGUAGUC
RNAcentral lists this ribosomal RNA (460 nucleotides) under uncultured bacterium. RNAcentral's name for it is "partial 16S ribosomal RNA". It matches the Rfam family "Bacterial small subunit ribosomal RNA", at positions 338 to 795 of the family's 1533-position model. The record is from RNAcentral.